UACGGAGGAUCCAAGCGUUAUCCGGAUUUAUUGGGUUUAAAGGGUGCGUAGGCGGCCUAUUAAGUCAGGGGUGAAAGACGGUAGCUUAACUAUCGCAGUGCCUUUGAUACUGAUGGGCUUGAAUGAACUAGAGGAGUGAAGCGAUGUACAAGUAGCGGUGAAAUGCAUAGAUAUGUCACAGAACACCAAUUGCGAAGGCAGCUUACUAUGGUUUUAUUGACGCUGAGGCACGAAAGCGUGGGGAUCAAACAGG
This 253-nucleotide ribosomal RNA is filed under the name uncultured bacterium. RNAcentral describes it as "partial 16S ribosomal RNA". It matches the Rfam family "Bacterial small subunit ribosomal RNA", at positions 524 to 776 of the family's 1533-position model. The record is from RNAcentral.